RNAcentral lists this ribosomal RNA (1699 nucleotides) under gut metagenome. RNAcentral describes it as "bacterial LSU rRNA". It matches the Rfam family "Bacterial large subunit ribosomal RNA", at positions 285 to 1990 of the family's 2925-position model. The record is from RNAcentral.
GGUGCAGGCGGGGUUGUAGGACCGCGCCGUGGCAAGAAGUGCAGUGAGUGGAAGGAACUGGAACGUUCCGCCGCAGGAGGUGAAAGCCCCGUACACGAAGCUGCAUGAAGCCUAGCGGUAUCCUGAGUAGCGCGGAGCACGAGGAAUUCUGCGUGAAUCUGCCGGGACCAUCCGGCAAGGCUAAAUACUCCCGGGAGACCGAUAGUGAACCAGUACCGUGAGGGAAAGGUGAAAAGCACCCCGGACAGGGGAGUGAAAGAGUCCCUGAAACCGUAUGCCUACAAGCGGUCGGAGCAUGCUUUGCAUGUGACGGCGUGCCUUUUGCAUAAUGAUCCUACGAGUUACCGUCGUUGGCAAGGUUAAGCGCAAUGAUGCGCGCAGCCGUAGCGAAAGCGAGUCUGAAACGGGCGAACGAGUCAGCGGAGGUAGACGCGAAACCAAGUGAUCUACCCUUGGGCAGGAUGAAGGUGAGGUAACACUCACUGGAGGUCCGAACGAAUAAGCGUUGAAAAGCUUCUCGAUGACCUGAGGGUAGGAGUGAAAGGCCAAUCAAACUUGGAGAUAGCUCGUACUCCCCGAAAAGCAUUUAGGUGCUGCCUCGGGCGUUCCUGUUGUGAGGUAGAGCGACUGAUUGGAUGCGAGGGCUUCACCGCCUAUCAAGUCCUGAUAAACUCCGAAUGCGCAACAGCCAAGCCCGGGAGAAAGGGCACGGGUGCUAAGGUCCGUGCCCGAGAGGAGAAGAAUCCAGACCACCGGCUAAGGUCCCGAAAUCCUGUCUAAGUCAGUCUAACGAAGUGCGGUUCCUAUGACAGCUAGGAUGUUGGCUCGGAAGCAGCCAUUCAUUCAAAGAGUGCGUAACAGCUCACUAGUCGAGGAACUGCGCAUGGAUAAUAAUCGGGUGUGAAGUCAGGUACCGAAGCCGUGGGAUACAUUAAGUAUCGGUAGGGGAGCAUUCCUGUCAGCGUCGAAGGCGCACCGCGAGGUGCUCUGGAGCGUCAGGAAAAGCAAAUGUAGGAAUAAGUAACGAUAAAGGGGGUGCGAUGCCCCCUCGCCGAAAGACCAAGGUUUCCUCAGCAACGCUAAUCGGCUGAGGGUCAGUCGGGUCCUAAGGCUCAUCCGAACGGAGAGGCCGAUGGCAGAAACGUUUAAUAUUACGUUACUACCUCCCGCGCGACGUGGAGACGGAGCAGUGACACUUCCGCGAGCAGACGGAUGCUCGUUGAAGGGUGUAGGCGCAGAUCGGUGCAGGCAAAUCCACACCGAGAGCCGAACCUGAAAGUAUCGGAGUCCCUUCCGGGACGGCGAACAGCGAAGGUAAUCAUACUCCCGAGAAAAUCCGCUAAGCAUCAACGGCGAGGUACCCGUACCGUAAACGGACACACGUGGUCGGGUUGAAUAUACUAAGGCGCUUGGGUGAUUCACGGUUAAGGAACUAGGCAAACUGACCCCGUAACUUCGGGAAAAGGGGUCCUCGUGAUGAGCGAGGCGCAGAGAAUAGGUCCAGGCAACUGUUUACCAAAAACACAGGGCUGUGCAAAAUCGAAAGAUCACGUAUACAGCCUGACACCUGCCCGGUGCUGGAAGGUUAAGAGGAGAUGUCACAGCAAUGGAAGCAUUGAAUUGAAGCCCCAGUAAACGGCGGCCGUAACUAUAACGGUCCUAAGGUAGCGAAAUUCCUUGUCGGGUAAGUUCCGACCUG